Long non-coding RNA from Carlito syrichta (Philippine tarsier), 323 nucleotides. RefSeq lists it as uncharacterized. The transcript is spliced from 3 exons. NCBI's taxonomy places the organism in Eukaryota, Metazoa, Chordata, Mammalia, Primates, Tarsiidae. The record is from RefSeq and is a predicted model, not a curated record.
UCUCGGAGAGAGCCGUGUGUAUUUGCUUCUUCCCUUUUCGCCCUGUGAAAUGCAGGUCCGGGGAGUCAGUAAGAAAGACUCUGGGACACCCAGAAGCCGGGAGAUGGUGUAACCUGAUUUAAUAAUCUGACCUGAGAAGAAAUCCUAGAGAAGUAGGAAGAAAAACACAAAAAAUGGCUACUUCUCAGAGGUUGUUGUCAUUCAAGGAUGUGGCCAUAGAAUUCUCUCCAGAGGAGUGGGCAUGCCUAGACUCCCCUCAGCGAAUAUUGUACAGGACUGUGAUGUUAGAGAACCAUAGAAACCUGGUUCUUCUAGGUGAGGAA